GUGGCCAUCGCUGAUGACGUUUGUGCUGAAAUUUGGGAAUGGGUAAAGGGCCUUCACCCGUUCCCAUAUUUCAUCACAAACGCCAUCACGGAACGUCUGCA
Molecule: microRNA precursor, 101 nt
Filed under: Selaginella moellendorffii
Lineage: Eukaryota; Viridiplantae; Streptophyta; Lycopodiopsida; Selaginellales; Selaginellaceae
Description: miR1098 stem-loop (smo-MIR1098)
Source: miRBase by way of RNAcentral